ACAAAAUUAUAAUUGCACCAACUAUUUCAAAACUAAAAUUGUUGUUUCAAAUAUAUCCAAAUUCCAUUAAAAUUAGCUGUUACAAAUUACUCAGAAAUACCAAAUCAUAUAGUUAUUUGUUUUCUUAUCUCACAAUAAUAAAUGAUUAAUUAUUUUUACAAAGAUUUUAAAAAAAGUGUUUUUUUUUCCUAUUAUCUAACCUAUUAUUUUUCUAUUUAUUUUAAAAUUUAUAUCUUGCAAGCCUGUAUUUAAAAGAACACAAAUAAAUUCAUUCAUAGAUGUAACAUAUUUUCCUUAUUUUCCAGAUAUUUUACUGGAUUAUAAAAUGAACUUAAAUGCCUUUAAUCUAAUGAACAAUACAAAUGUUAGUUUCUGAUGCUGAUAUUGUCGGUUCAUUUUUGAAUGUUCAAAGAGACAUGCAAGACUGUUCCGUCGAAAGAA
Parasteatoda tepidariorum (common house spider) is the source of this 441-nucleotide non-coding RNA. The record is from RefSeq and is a predicted model, not a curated record. NCBI's taxonomy places the organism in Eukaryota, Metazoa, Arthropoda, Arachnida, Araneae, Theridiidae.